RNAcentral lists this long non-coding RNA (279 nucleotides) under Vicia faba (fava bean). Lineage: Eukaryota; Viridiplantae; Streptophyta; Magnoliopsida; Fabales; Fabaceae. The record is from RNAcentral.
AUGGCAAAAUCUAUACCAAAAAUUGGUUCACGUAAAACUGGACGUAUUGGUUCGCAUGUAAGAGGUCGGGUGAUUUCUUGGUCCUCCGCCGGUUCAUGUGGAUUCAAGGGUACACGAAGGGGGACACCAUUUGCCGCUCUAACCGCAGCGGGAAAUGCUAUUCAAACAGUAGUCGAUCAAGGCAUGCAACGAGCAGACGUCAUGAUAAAAGGGUUUAUACGGGAUGUAACCCCUAUGUCACAUAAUGGAUGUAGGGCUCCUAAAAAAAGACGUGUGUAA